Mytilus californianus (California mussel) is the source of this 909-nucleotide long non-coding RNA. RefSeq lists it as uncharacterized. Lineage: Eukaryota; Metazoa; Mollusca; Bivalvia; Mytilida; Mytilidae. The transcript has 2 exons. The record is from RefSeq and is a predicted model, not a curated record.
CAGGCCACCGUACAGUUUUCAACGAUUAAACAAGUUCAUACCAUAUACUAAGCUAUUAAAGAUCACGGGAUAACAAAAUUGGCAAAGAUUGAGCCGAAAAAAACAACAGUUCUAAUCAUGCUUAUAGAAUUAAACAAAAAAGAAUUUUGACAUAGAUUAUUAUAUUAAAUAAAGGCUGAUACACAAUAAUAAAACUUAAACUUUUAGAACUGGAAAAUCCCACUUUUACACAUUCCUCUCCCCGUAGAAUAUAUAUGAAUAUGACGUAUGCGUUCCAUGUUAUGUUAUAAUAAGAACUAUACCACAUUAAAACCUCUAAAAGAUAAUUAUUUUAAUAUGAAAAUAAAAAAAUCGACUUUUUGAACAAAUGUCCAAUAUUUAUUUAAUUUUCACAAAUUAUAUCUCUUCCGCAGUAUCACAUGUAAGCGAUACAUUAGUUGAAAACUGAUUCAAGGUGGAUAGGUUUUUUUUCUGGAUACAACGAACAAAUUAUACAAAGAAGGAAGAUUUCAUGAUAGAUUCACACUUUUGUAAUUAUUAUUACUGAACUUGUACAUGUUGUAAUAUAUUUCUGUAAUGAAUUAUUGUAAAAAUCAUUGUCUACUAGGAUGUGUGAAUUCUUUCAUUCAUAAUAUCUGUUAUGCCCCCACAAAUAUAUUGUUUCAUUUAAAAACACGGAAGUGUAAAGUGUUUCUAGGAAUCAUCCUGUUUGUCCGUCCGUCCGUCUGUCUGUCAAUCAUUCUGUAUAUGUGAAAUAAGGAUUUUGCAUGAUUGCCGAUGAGACAACCAUCCAACAAAAUAUAAAUGACGUAGACGAAAGCAAUUAUAGGCCCCCAUACGACCUUUCAACAAUUAAUAAAACCCAUACAUACCGUAUAUUGAGCUAUAAAAGGUCCCGACAUGACAAAA